GACGAACGCUGGCGGCGUGCUUAACACAUGCAAGUCGAACGGAAAGGCCCCCACUUUUUUGGUGGGGGUGCUCGAGUGGCGAACGGGUGAGUAACACGUGGGUGAUCUGCCCUGUACUUCGGGAUAAGCUUGGGAAACUGGGUCUAAUACCGGAUAGGACCAUGGUUUAGUGUCUCAUGGUGGAAAAAUUAUUGUUUUGGUGCAGGAUGAGCUCGCGGCCUAUCAGCUUGUUGGUGGGGUAAUGGCCUACCAAGGCGUCGACGGGUAGCCGGCCUGAGAGGGUGGACGGCCACAUUGGGACUGAGAUACGGCCCAGACUCCUACGGGAGGCAGCAGUGGGGAAUAUUGCACAAUGGGCGCAAGCCUGAUGCAGCGACGCCGCGUGGGGGAUGACGGCCGUCGGGUGGUAAACUCCUUUCGUUAGGGACGAAGCCGCACCUUUUUUGGGUGUGGUGACGGUACCUUUGUUAAGAAGCACCGGCUAACUACGUG
Molecule: ribosomal RNA, 492 nt
Filed under: uncultured bacterium
Lineage: Bacteria
Description: partial 16S ribosomal RNA
Rfam family: Bacterial small subunit ribosomal RNA
Source: RNAcentral